Molecule: ribosomal RNA, 836 nt
Filed under: uncultured bacterium
Lineage: Bacteria
Description: bacterial SSU rRNA
Rfam family: Bacterial small subunit ribosomal RNA
Source: RNAcentral
ACACAUGCAAGUCGAGGGGCAGCAUUUUAGUUUGCAAGCAAACUAAAGAUGGCGACCGGCGCACGGGUGAGUAACACGUAUCCAACCUGCCGAUAACUCAGGGAUAGCCUUUCGAAAGAAAGAUUAAUACCUGAUGGCAUAGGAUUAUCGCAUGAUAAUCCUAUUAAAGAAUUUCGGUUAUCGAUGGGGAUGCGUUCCAUUAGGCAGUUGGUGAGGUAACGGCUCACCAAACCUUCGAUGGAUAGGGGUUCUGAGAGGAAGGUCCCCCACAUUGGAACUGAGACACGGUCCAAACUCCUACGGGAGGCAGCAGUGAGGAAUAUUGGUCAAUGGACGGGAGUCUGAAUCAGCCAAGUAGCGUGAAGGAUGACUGCCCUAUGGGUUGUAAACUUCUUUUAUACGGGAAUAAAGUGAUCCACGUGUGGAUUUUUGUAUGUACCGUAUGAAUAAGGAUCGGCUAACUCCGUGCCAGCAGCCGCGGUAAUACGGAGGAUCCGAGCGUUAUCCGGAUUUAUUGGGUUUAAAGGGAGCGUAGGUGGAUUGUUAAGUCAGUUGUGAAAGUUUGCGGCUCAACCGUAAAAUUGCAGUUGAUACUGGCAGUCUUGAGUACAGUAGAGGUGGGCGGAAUUCGUGGUGUAGCGGUGAAAUGCUUAGAUAUCACGAAGAACUCCGAUUGCGAAGGCAGCUCACUGGACUGCAACUGACACUGAUGCUCGAAAGUGUGGGUAUCAAACAGGAUUAGAUACCCUGGUAGUCCACACAGUAAACGAUGAAUACUCGCUGUUUGCGAUAUACGGUAAGCGGCCAAGCGAAAGCGUUAAGUAUUCCACCUGGGG